Molecule: long non-coding RNA, 5487 nt
Filed under: Sus scrofa (pig)
Lineage: Eukaryota; Metazoa; Chordata; Mammalia; Artiodactyla; Suidae
Description: lncRNA (ENSSSCG00060011906.1)
Source: RNAcentral
UUUUUUUUUUCCUUUUAUGGUCACACCUGCAGCAUAUGGAAUUUCCCAGGCCAGGGGUAGAACUGGAGCUGCAGCUGCCGGCCUACGCCACAUCCACAGCCACAGCAGAUUCAAGCCGCAUCUGCAACCCACAGCUUGUAGCAAUGCUGGAUCCUUGACCCACUGAGCGAGGCCAGGGAUCCAACCCACAUCCUCAGGGACACUAUGUUGGUUGCUUAACCCACUGACCAACAACAGGAACUCCAAAAACUUAAAGCAGUACUACUGAUUUAUAAUCUAACUGAUCUGUGAAUGUUCAGAAACCUGACCUGCCAGCAAGUCCAAGUAAAAGACAUGAUCAUCAAAAUUCUAGGUUCAAGUUAAUAACAGACAGGAGGCGUGUAUCUUGGCCAAGACCCACAGCACUGGACAAGGACACUGCCGCACCCUGAAGCAGCUUGGAGAGAUAAACCUCAGACCACGGUGCCGAUGAAGAGAGGAGGAGAGCCAUGGAGAGGAAGGGGCAGGGGACAGCGUUCCACCCAGCCCCCCUCCAUCAUUCAUCCCACCUUUUUCAAAUUGCCCACUGGUGCUGUUCCCCGGCCAGUACAGUCUCCCCAUCCUUCUGCCUAUCAAAAUUCUAAAUGUGGAGUUCCCUUGUGGCUCAGUGGGUUAAGGAUCUGGCAUUGUCACUGCUGCAGCUCUGGUUACUGCAGUGGUACGAUUCAAUCUCUGGCCUAGAAACUUCCGCAUGCCGUGGGUGUGGCCCCCCCCCAAAUUUCUAUAUGUGCUUCCAGGUUCAAAGAGUGCCAACUUUUCCGUGUUUAAACAACUGGAUAACGAACAGAUUCGUAUGUGUUGCUAACUGUCCUAGCUUUUCUCUCAACUCCCAGAACUUUUCCAAUACUGCAGGGAAUCAACGCUUUUUCCACACAAGUGUAGGUUUCCAAACUGCCAAAAUGACUCCCUCCAGUCAGCUUUCUACUGAAUCCACGUGUAGCAGAAGUUAGCCUUAGCUGCAAAGGUCAAGCUAUUCUGUACAAAGGAAUGUUUUUAAAGAAAGGGAAAGGGAGUUCCCGUCAUGGCGCAGUGGUUAACGAAUCCGACUAGGAACCAUGAGGAACUCCCCAUGUUUACUCUUUGAGGAGCCAACAAACUGCUUUCCACAGCAGCAAGGGUUUCUUUUCUUUGUUUCUUAAAUUUCUUUUUUUUUAUUGUGGUAAAAAAACACGCAUCAUAAACUGUGUCAUCAUGACCACUUUUUACGUGUACAGUUCAGCAGUGUUAAGUAUCUUCAUAACCUGCUCAUUUCGCAGAACUGAAACUCUAUAACCGUUAAACAACAACUGUUUUCACCUCUUCCCCCUGGUCUUUAGCAACCCACACUCUACUUUCCUUGUCUGAAUUUGACUACUUUAGGAACCUCAUAUAAGUGGAGUCAUACAGUAUUUGUCCUUUUGAGAUGGCUUGUUUUACUUAGCAUAAUGUUCAUCCAUGCUGUAGGAUGUGACAGGGUUUCCUUUCUAAGACUGCAUGGUAUUUUGUUGUACGUAUGUGGCAUUUCCCCCCCCACCCCUGCAUUUUGUUGAUCUAUUCAUUUAUGAAUGUAUAUUUGGGUCACUUCUACCUCUUGGCUAUGGUAAAUAAUGCUGCCAUGAACAUGGGUGUGCAAAUAACUUGAGACAUUGCUUUCAGUUAUUUUGGAUAUAUACCCAUAAGUGCACAAUCACUUCCAUAAAAAUCUCUGUGGACUCUACACAAUAGCAGUUUUGCUUCUUGUAUCUACAUUCUUCUAGAUCCUUAGUAAAAUCUUCCACCUUCCCUCUAAAGAGCUCCACUUGGGAGCACCUGGACCAGGUGAACUUCCAGGUGUGUCCAGCUCUAAAUCUAGUGAUCUACAAGAAUGUCCUGAGUAUAAUACUGUCCUCAUAACUAGUUCACAUUAAUGAGUAUAUCUCUGCCCCAGAAGAUGUGCACAACCAGGUCAAAGUAAAUAUCCUCCCAGAGAGCUGAGGCUCAACAGAAUAUGCCAAGGACGAGGAAUUUUCUUCUCAACACUGACCUUACUGGUUCACCUUUUUCACCAGCCACAAAACAGGAAGUGAUCAAGCUAAUAAGGUGGAUUCCCAUCCAUGAGGAUGGGGGUUUGGUCCUGGCCUCGCUUGGUGGGGUAAGGAUCCAGUGUUGCUGUGAGUUGUGGUGUAGGUCUCUGAUGCCGCUCAGAUCUGGUGUGGCUGUGGCUGUGGCUGUGGCCGGCAGCUGCAGCUCCCAUUUGACUCUUACCCUGGGAACUUCCACAUGCCUCGGGUGUGGUCAUAAAAAGCAAAACAAACAAACAAACAAAAACAAAACAAACAAACAAAAACUUAACAAGCUCAUUAACUAUGUACCUUAAAAAAGAUCAAAUCUAUGUUAAUUAUCACUGCUUCACUAAGUAUUUUCAGAGUGCUAUGCAUUCUCACACAGAUGAAGUCAACAGAGUUUAUUUCAAUAGACGGUUUAAAAAUUUCAGGCAGAGUAACUGUAACAUAAUAAACUCAAUAAAGGGCUCUUGUUUCUAUAUAGGUAUUCUCCUAUGGAACAUUCUUCUGUGUAAUUAUUAUUACGUAUUGCCUUGUAUAAAAUCCAACUGCUGGAGAGGUGAUUUAAAUUCAGUCCCUAUGUUUACGUAAUAAGAAAACACUCCUGAUAAACAGUGCAACCCUUUGAGGAACAUCAUGAAAAGAAAAGAGUUAUCUGUUCCAAGAGUCUGACUCCAGUGCAGAUGUACAGGGCUGUGUCUGGAGAGGAAAAUUAAUAGCUCCAUUUCCUUUCUUCCCUCUUUCUAUCUGAUAAGAGAUGCUCUCCUGGGAUGGAGAGGGCAGUCUUGGAAGGAGGCUGGAGGCCUGUGGAGGGAGAGGGACCAGGACUGACACGCUCAGAAACUCAUCAACCACACCUGGUUUCUGCAUCCGUUAUGGAACCAGAUGUGCAAAUACUGCCUCCGAGCGGAUUACCAACAGCACCAGGCACUGGAGGGAAGCUGAGCCUUCCACAUGUUCCUUCUCAUUGUCAUGCUGGCAGAGUCCAGCCAGGCUCCUGUGACACACGGACGCCCAUAUACAUCCCUGAUUCUCACCUUGCCAGACCUGGGAGCCAUCGAUACGAAUGGGGAGCUCAGACUUCGAGCCCCUGACAAGGCCGUGACCCCAGACUCCCAGGACCCCAAGGAGCCUGCAUCGCACCCUCCCACCCAAGCUGCUCUGCGUUCACUGGGCAAUUCUGGGAAAAACUCAAAAUGUGCAGAAUUGCACUCCUAUUGAUCAUCCUAAAAUACAUGUAGCUAUGGGUUUUGGAAGACAUGCUCAAUCUGUGCUACAUGCAACAAGCGUAUCUCUGCUCCAGAGGACAUACCCAACCAGAUCCAAGGAAAUAUCCUCCCCGGGAUAUGGAGCCACCACCAAAACCUGUUGGGGAAGGCUACAGCGCCACGGGGAAUAUGGGAUGAACAUGCGAAUCUACUCUGUUUACAUUUAUCUCUUAUCUACAAAACCCACAACAGAACGGACCAGGCUUUACCAUUUACUACGUGGACUGUUUUGCCUGUGUGCAGGCAGACUGGCCAUCACCCAGCUUCAUGGUCCUUAGAGCUCUGGAGGAGAGAGCAGGUCACCACCCACAGGUCCCUAUGCCCCUUCCUUUGCUUCCUGCGUCCUGCAACAUGCAUAUGAUACUGUCUGGUUAAUGGGAUAAUGAAGUAAAUUCUCUAGUUUUACCUUUGAUAGAUCCCAAGCACCUCCAACUGUACUCAAAUGUAUAAUGCAUGAAUUUAAACUAUCUUUGAUGAAACGGACACAUGGCUUAAAAGAUUCCUGCAAAAAAAAAAAAAAAAAAAACCCUCCAGAGGCUGAAGUUAACACCAAUACAAGCACAAGUGAACAAUAAUAAAAGAAAAGAGCUCACACUUCUUUCCUGGUAUAAGUACUUCUUGAAUAAUAUUACAAAUAAUACCAAAUAUCUAAUCAGAUUUGACAGGAAGCGGCCCUUUGCCACAAACCUGAAAUCUCUAGGGAGAACAUUAGAAAUUUAGAUUUACAUCCCAAAUCAUUAAUGAGAAACAUUACCUCAAGGGUAUUCGGACCUUGGGAUAUUAGCUAAUGAUAAUAAAAAGUCCCAGUGAUUAGCAAGACAUUUAAAAUAUUGCUUAUUUCACCUUUAUCAGAUACAUUAAUAUCCAUUUUGUAUAUAUUUUACAAUUUACACAAUGGUAGCAAAAUAUGCACAGGUAUACAAGUAUCUAGGGUGCAGGCAAAAAGUAAUUUUUAAAUGGAUGGGGUGCAUGAUCAAAGUUUGGUGUCACAGCCCUGGUACAGAGCAUCCACCUGGAUGGAAGGCAGACUGCUGCAGUGCUCAGCCUGGGCAACAGUCAAGUGCUGGGCAACAGAAGCAAGAGUCAUUUACAUGUAGGCCUCACAGUUAAUAAAUUAUUGUGCUGCUAUUGCUAUUGGGAUGUCACUGGAAGGUUCUGAUUCACUUCCUACAAGACCUGAGUCUUCCUUCCAUGAUGGACUGAAUUUUGUCCCCCACCCCCCCUAUGUCCCAUAUUGAAGUUCUAAGCCCAGGUGCCUCAGAAUGUGGCCUUAUUUGGAAAUAGAGUUGUUGUAGCUAUAUACUUAGUUAAGAUGAGGUCAUUAGGCUGAGCUCUAAUCCGACCUGAUUGGCAUUCUUAGGAAAAGGGGAACCUGGACUCAUAUACACACCCAGCGAGAAUGCCAUGUGAACACCAGAGCUACACUGCCACCAGCCAAGGAACUAUGAGAUGCUGAGAGAAGGCCUGGAACAGAUUCUUCCCUUCUGCUUUCAGAGAGGGCAAGGGCCUGCUGACUCCCUGAUCUCAAACUGAUGGCUCCCAGAACUGUGAGACAGUACUUUUCUGUUGUUUAAAUAGUGUGGCACUCUAUUAUGGAAGCCCUAUGAAGUGAACUCACUGUUUCUUGGAGCGGAGGCAGCCAGUCUGGUGGGAAGUUACCACUAUAACCUGGGUGGAAAUAGAGCCUUUGCAGAGUGAUAAGCACGGUGCUACCUUUAGGACCAAAUGCAGACUCUAUAAAUGCAGAAAGACAGUCCCCUUCCUCUGCAGGCUCCCCCACCUACGCACUGACUCAGUGCCUAUGGGGACUCGGGGACCUGCACCAGUUCCACCCAAGUGGCCCUAGGGCAAAAUGAUGACUUUCACCACACCCUUGCUGGCAAACACAUUGUAACACUUCAUCAACACCCCAUGUUGCCUACCGACUUAGGACAUUGAUCUUUGAGCCUCAAACUUGCGUGGAUCGUGAGAGUGCUGAAAAGCAAUCAGAAUGUGCCCAUUUUACCUACCGAAGCAGAAAGGACCAUUUGUCAUUUCAUGCUGCCAUGAAAUCAUGCCUCAGAUGCUUUUGAUUCUGAGAUCUUGCUGUACCUUCAAGAAGGCUUUUCCUUAGCAGAGGCAUCUCGGUCACAAGCAGGUGACAACCAGUUAUGCCCAUC